CGAAUAUGCUUUCCUCUGCCAGGCAAAUAUACCUUGAAAUUUUGAAUGGGCCUGGUUUAUUAUUAAACAAUACGUAAUUAAGAGAUGGUAUCCUACUGAAAGUAAACCAGUUUCAGAGUCGUAGUCAUCAACAAAGAUUAAUCUUCAACAGUAAUUGGUUACUCUGUAUCAUAUAAUGCGCGGAGUGUAUAGAUUUUAUGGGUCCGAUGUUUGUGCCGAUAAAGAAAAUCCAGUGUACAUCAUUUGUUAAUUUAUUGUGCGCCCAUAAAUUUCUUUGCUUCUUUGCGUAAUCUUUUGUCGCUGUAUUUAUCUUCUUAUCAUCUGCACCACCGUGAAGCAACCCAGAGCUGUUGACUACUGUGAGCCCGGGUGGUAUAGUUUAGGAAUCAAGAGAAUGAUAGAGUUUUUGCAGGGAUACGUCGAGACAGCCUUGUGGGCUCUCGUGUUUUCUUGCAUCAUUGUGAAGCUGGUUUCGAGCGCCGUGGAUAGUGAUGGAAACGGGAGCGCAGAGAGAAGAGUUGUGGCGGUGGGAGAUGGUGAUCAGGUUGGAACUAAAGGUGUUCGAGAGAUUGACGCUGAGAGUUUUGAUAUUGUGAAGGUGGUUGAUGAAGAUGAAGGAGAAGUGAUUGUUGAAAAGGUUCAAAUGGUUGAACAAUGCGGUGAUGCGAGAGAUGGCAGUUGGACAGGAGGAGAGUCCAGGAAUCUUGGAUUGUCGGAGGUUGGAGCCUCAAAGAUUGAUGCUUUGUGUGGUGGUGUUGAGGUUGCUGGGGAGGAACUGUUGGGAGCCUCAAAGAUUGAUGCUUUGUGUGGUGUUGAGGGAAAAGAUGUUUUUGGGGAUGUUAAGGUUGUGGGAGAGGAAUUCAAGAGUGAAGAGGUUAGGAAAAAGAAUGUUGUGGGAACAAAUUUGCCCACUGCAAGUGGUCAUAUUGAAGGAGGAUUUAGACAAGAGGAUGAGGGUCUUAGUGAUGAUGAUUGGGAAGGAAUUGAGAGGAGUGACUUGGAGAUUCUAUUUGCCAAGGCUAUCAACUUCGUCCAGUGUGGGAACAAUGAUGCAUUGUCCAAUCUGGGAAGCGAGUUGAAGAUGCAGUUGUAUGCUCUUCAGAAAACGGCAAUGGAAGGGCCUUGUUAUGAGCCUCAGCCAAUGGCAUUCAAGGUCUCUGCCCGUGCCAAAUGGAAUGCUUGGCGAAGAACGGGAAGCAUGAGUUCGGAGGCGGCUAUGGAGCAGUACGUUAAACUUCUAUCGGAUACUGUUCCCGCCUGGAUUAGAUGCUCUUCCACUGUAAGUGUCACUGUUCUUCUUCAGUUAUUUUCCAGGAAAGUUGUGUAGAUAGUUCUUCAGCAAUUGGAAAGACGAAGCUCUCCCGACAUUCAAUCUGAUUGUACCAAUGAAAAGUUGAAAUCUGAUAGGAAUUGAUGAUGAACUGCUUGUUUGUCCAACAACUUGGCCAUUUCCCAUCAUCCAAUCUGAAGUCUGAAGAUGUGCUUCAAGAAUUUCAGGGGUUUAAUAAUUAGUAAUAUUAUUCGAGCUAUUAGUUUUUCCUUUUUUUUUUUUUUUAAUAAUUUAUUUCUGAACUAUUGUUAUGCAAUACCCUGCACAUGUAAUUAAUUAUUUGCAUCAUAUUGGGGCUGAACCUGUGCAUAGAUAACAGCUAAGUGCUCUAAUAGAAUGGUUAUACACUUAAAAAAAUUGAUAUAUUGUCAAGCAA
RNA transcript from Ipomoea nil (Japanese morning glory), 1706 nucleotides. It is a transcript of the gene named acyl-CoA-binding domain-containing protein 3-like, with no coding region annotated. Lineage: Eukaryota; Viridiplantae; Streptophyta; Magnoliopsida; Solanales; Convolvulaceae. The transcript is spliced from 4 exons. The record is from RefSeq and is a predicted model, not a curated record.